UUUGAAUAAUAUAUUUAUGGUUUAAAAUUGUCAAAUACAGUAUGUGGUUGGAUACUUGUAUUUGUCUGAUGCUCUGAUGGAUGAAAAGUUUUGUCUUCUUGGGUAAAAAAUAUUUAAAGUAUGAGAUUCAGUAUUUUCUUUUGCAUUAUUUUUUCAUUUGACUAGUUUGAACAUCCAUCAAGUAUAGAAAAUGCAAAGGUUGACUUUAAUUGCUUUCUUCUGUAUGUACUGCAUUGCAUGAUAAGUUCCUGAGUCUAUGCUUUCAAAUCACAGUUGCAGUGCUGCUUGAAGGGUUUGUUGUGAGAAUGAUGUUAGGGUCACUCCUUUCACUUAUUUCGUUUCAUUUUUAAACUAGUGAAUAGCGUCUCACAAAUUUAGAAGAAUGA
RNAcentral lists this unclassified non-coding RNA (386 nucleotides) under Hevea brasiliensis (rubber tree). The record is from RNAcentral. Lineage: Eukaryota; Viridiplantae; Streptophyta; Magnoliopsida; Malpighiales; Euphorbiaceae.